RNAcentral lists this ribosomal RNA (441 nucleotides) under uncultured bacterium. Its description in RNAcentral is "partial 16S ribosomal RNA". It matches the Rfam family "Bacterial small subunit ribosomal RNA", at positions 338 to 795 of the family's 1533-position model. The record is from RNAcentral.
CCUACGGGAGGCAGCAGUCGGGAAUAUUGCGCAACGGAGGAAACUCUGACGCCGUGACGCCGCGUGCAGGAAGAAGGUUUUCGGAUUGUAACCUGCUUUAGACAGGGAAGAAAAAAGACAGUACCUGUAGAAUAAGCUCCGGCUAACUACGUGCCAGCAGCCGCGGUAAUACGUAGGGAGCAAGCGUUAUCCGGAUUUAUUGGGUGUAAAGGGUGCGUAGACGGAGAAGCAAGUUAGUUGUGAAAUGCCUCGGCUUAACUGAGGAACUGCAACUAAAACUACUUCCAUUGAGUACAGUUGAGGUAGGCGGAAUUCGUGGUGUAGCGGUGAAAUGCUUAGAUAUCACGAAGAACUCCGAUUGCGAAGGCAGCUUACUAAACUGCCACUGACAUUGAUGCUCGAAAGUGUGGGUAUCAAACAGGAUUAGAUACCCUGGUAGUC